Molecule: ribosomal RNA, 253 nt
Filed under: uncultured bacterium
Lineage: Bacteria
Description: partial 16S ribosomal RNA
Rfam family: Bacterial small subunit ribosomal RNA
Source: RNAcentral
UACGUAGGGCGCAAGCGUUAUCCGGAAUUAUUGGGCGUAAAGAGCUCGUAGGCGGUCUGUCGCGUCGAAUGUGAAAACCCGGGGCUCAACUCCGGGCUUGCAUUCGAUACGGGCAGGCUAGAGUUCGGUAGGGGAGUCUGGAAUUCCUGGUGUAGCGGUGAAAUGCGCAGAUAUCAGGAGGAACACCGGUGGCGAAGGCGGGUCUCUGGGCCGAUACUGACGCUGAGGAGCGAAAGCGUGGGGAGCGAACAGG